RNAcentral lists this ribosomal RNA (403 nucleotides) under uncultured bacterium. RNAcentral describes it as "partial 16S ribosomal RNA". It matches the Rfam family "Bacterial small subunit ribosomal RNA", at positions 30 to 526 of the family's 1533-position model. The record is from RNAcentral.
AUUGAACGCUGGCGGCAGGUCUAACACAUGCAAGUCGAGCGAGCGGCGGAAGGGUGAGUAAUGUAUGGGGACUGCCCGAUAGAGGGGGAGAACUACUGGCAACGGUAGCUAAUACCGCAUACUAUCGUAUACCCCAUAGUGGAUUAGAUAGUAGGUGAGGUAAGGGCUCACCAAGCCGACGCUCCCUAGCUGGUCUGAGAGGAUGAUCAGCCACACGGGGACUGAGACACGGCACAGACUCCGACGGAGGCAGCAGUGGGGAAUCUUGGACAAUGGGGGCAAGCCUGAGGCAGCCAUGACGCGUGUAUGAAGAAGGCCCUAGGGUUGUAAAGUACUUUCAGUCGGGAGGCGUUGCCGACAGAAGAAGCACCGGCUAACUCCGUGCCAGCAGCCGCGGUAAUUC